RNAcentral lists this ribosomal RNA (460 nucleotides) under uncultured bacterium. RNAcentral's name for it is "partial 16S ribosomal RNA". It matches the Rfam family "Bacterial small subunit ribosomal RNA", at positions 338 to 795 of the family's 1533-position model. The record is from RNAcentral.
CCUACGGGAGGCAGCAGUGAGGAAUAUUGGUCAAUGGACGAGAGUCUGAACCAGCCAAGUAGCGUGAAGGAUGACUGCCCUAUGGGUUGUAAACUUCUUUUAUAUGGGAAUAAAAUGUUCCACGUGUGGGAUUUUGUAUGUACCAUAUGAAUAAGGAUCGGCUAACUCCGUGCCAGCAGCCGCGGUAAUACGGAAGAUCCGAGCGUUAUCCGGAUUUAUUGGGUUUAAAGGGAGCGUAGGUGGAUUGUUAAGUCAGUUGUGAAAGUUUGCGGCUCAACCGUAAAAUUGCAGUUGAAACUGGCAGUCUUGAGUACAGUAGAGGUGGGCGGAAUGCGUGGUGUAGCGGUGAAAUGCUUAGAUAUCACGAAGAACUCCGAUUGCGAAGGCAGUUCACUGGACUGCAACUGACACUGAGGCUCGAAAGUGUGGGUAUCAAACAGGAUUAGAUACCCCUGUAGUC